Molecule: ribosomal RNA, 250 nt
Filed under: uncultured bacterium
Lineage: Bacteria
Description: partial 16S ribosomal RNA
Rfam family: Bacterial small subunit ribosomal RNA
Source: RNAcentral
UACGGAGGGUGCAAGCGUUAUCCGGAUUCACUGGGUUUAAAGGGUGCGUAGGCGGAUAGGUAAGUCCGUGGUGAAAUCCCCAAGCUUAACUUGGGAACUGCCAUGGAUACUAUUUAUCUUGAAUAUUGUGGAGGUGGGCGGAAUAUGUCAUGUAGCGGUGAAAUGCUUAGAGAUGACAUAGAACACCGAUUGCGAAGGCAGCUUGCUACACAAUUAUUGACGCUGAGGCACGAAAGCGUGGGGAUCAAAC